GUCUACAGACAUGCCACCCUGAACAUGCCCGAUCUCGUAUGAUCUUGGAAGCUAAGUAGGGUCGGGCCUGGUUAGUACUUGGAGGGGAGACCACCAAGGAAUGCUGGGUGUUGUAGGUG
RNAcentral lists this ribosomal RNA (119 nucleotides) under Pteropus alecto (black flying fox). Lineage: Eukaryota; Metazoa; Chordata; Mammalia; Chiroptera; Pteropodidae. The record is from RNAcentral.